Molecule: non-coding RNA, 22 nt
Filed under: Arabidopsis thaliana (thale cress)
Lineage: Eukaryota; Viridiplantae; Streptophyta; Magnoliopsida; Brassicales; Brassicaceae
Source: RNAcentral
CACGGGGAAACUUACCAGGUCC